This 498-nucleotide long non-coding RNA is filed under the name Cyanistes caeruleus (blue tit). Its description in RNAcentral is "lncRNA (ENSCCEG00000016065.1)". The record is from RNAcentral. Lineage: Eukaryota; Metazoa; Chordata; Aves; Passeriformes; Paridae.
AAUGUCAUGUGGAUGGGAUGGAUGAGAAUCAGGGAUUUGCCAUUCUUUGCAGGCUACUAAGAGGCUGUUUAUGUUGCUUUUGCACCAGAUGCAGUAGAGAACGGUCCUUCCUCUGGAACUGCAAUAAGAUUGGAUCAGAAACUGUGAAAUGGCAUGAAAAGGUCCCCAGGUGUUCACCUAAAUGCAGAAACCUGGAACAGCACGAUGACCAGGAAUAGUGCUUCAGCUGCUAAUGUCUGUCUCCUACCUUGGGGGCUGAGGAGCUUUGGAUAAGUGCCUAAGAGAGCUGCUGUCUUGGUGCCAGACACAUUUCUGCCCACCUUUUGGUGCUACGUUUAUGGCAUACACUUGAAGAUAGGAUCUCCACUGUAGCUCAGCUGAAAUCAGGCACCCACUAAUGCACAGCAUACUUAUAUAAAGCUGCUUUCAACUUAUGCCACUGUGUUUACAUGUAUUCCCAUAAAAUCCACACAUUAAACUUCUUCAAAAUUCCUAAUG